Molecule: ribosomal RNA, 451 nt
Filed under: uncultured bacterium
Lineage: Bacteria
Description: partial 16S ribosomal RNA
Rfam family: Bacterial small subunit ribosomal RNA
Source: RNAcentral
AACGAACGCUGGCGGCAGGCUUAACACAUGCAAGUCGAACGGGUGUAGCAAUACAUCAGUGGCAGACGGGUGAGUAACACGUGGGAACCUUCCUAGGGGUACGGAACAACUCAGGGAAACUUGAGCUAAUACCGUAUACGUCCGUGAGGAGAAAGAUUUAUCGCCCUUAGACGGGCCCGCGUCGGAUUAGCCAGUUGGUGGGGUAACGGCCUACCAAGGCGACGAUCCGUAGCUGAUCUUAGAGGAUGAUCAGCCACACUGGGACUGAGACACGGCCCAGACUCCUACGGGAGGCAGCAGUGGGGAAUCUUGGACAAUGGGCGCAAGCCUGAUCCAGCCAUGGCGCGUGAGUGAAGAAGGUCUUCGGAUUGUAAAGCUCUUUUGCCAGGGACGAUAAUGACGGUACCUGGAGAAUAAGCCCCGGCAAACUUCGUGCCAGCAGCCGCCGCCG